UACGAAGGGGGCUAGCGUUGUUCGGAAUUACUGGGCGUAAAGCGCGUGUAGGCGGUCCGGUAAGUCCGCUGUGAAAGUCGGGGGCUCAACCCUCGAAUGCCGGUGGAUACUGUCGGGCUAGAGUGCGGAAGAGGCGAGUGGAAUUCCUGGUGUAGCGGUGAAAUGCGCAGAUAUCAGGAGGAACACCAAUUGCGAAGGCAGCUCGCUGGGACGUAACUGACGCUGAGACGCGAAAGCGUGGGGAGCAAACAGG
This 253-nucleotide ribosomal RNA is filed under the name uncultured bacterium. RNAcentral's name for it is "partial 16S ribosomal RNA". It matches the Rfam family "Bacterial small subunit ribosomal RNA", at positions 524 to 776 of the family's 1533-position model. The record is from RNAcentral.